UGCGCAGGCGGCUCCUUAAGUCAGAUGUGAAAGCCCCGGGCUUAACCUGGGAACUGCGUUUGAAACUGGGGGGCGUAGAGUGUGGAAGAGGGGGUGGAAUUCCAGGUGUAGCAGUGAAAUGCGUAGAGAUCUGGAGGAACACCGAUGGCGAAGGCAGCCCCCUGGGCUAACACUGACGCUCAUGCACGAAAGCGUGGGAGCAAACA
Molecule: ribosomal RNA, 206 nt
Filed under: uncultured bacterium
Lineage: Bacteria
Description: partial 16S ribosomal RNA
Rfam family: Bacterial small subunit ribosomal RNA
Source: RNAcentral